UACGGGGGGGGCAAGCGUUGUUCGGAAUUACUGGGCGUAAAGGGCUCGUAGGCGGCCAAUUAAGUCGGAUGUGAAAUCCCCAGGCUUAACCUGGGAACUGCAUCCGAUACUGGAUGGCUUGAAUCCGGGAGAGGGAUGUGGAAUUCCAGGUGUAGCGGUGAAAUGCGUAGAUAUCUGGAGGAACACCGGUGGCGAAGGCGACAUCCUGGACCGGUAUUGACGCUGAGGCGCGAAAGCCAGGGGAGCAAACGGG
Molecule: ribosomal RNA, 253 nt
Filed under: uncultured bacterium
Lineage: Bacteria
Description: partial 16S ribosomal RNA
Rfam family: Bacterial small subunit ribosomal RNA
Source: RNAcentral